AUUACCCCCAAUACCACUUAAGAAGUGCUAUUUGCUAUACAUUGCCCGAAUCGGGUGCGGAGCUGAGCCAGAUAGUUUCAGUUGGAGUUUGGGUCGGGCUUGGGUCUGACCCAAAUGCUCGCAGUGGCAGCCUUCUCUGGUCCUUUUUUUUUUUUUUUUUUUUUUCAAUGGAAACGGGACAAAAACCCUAAAUAACAAUCAUUCUCCAGUUAGUUACCCUCCCCGCUAGUUUGCUAAUCCACCCCUCCUCUUCCCUCGUGGCUUCUCCCUUCUGGUGGAGUCUUCGGUUGUCCGCCCCUCCGCUCCUACGAUAGAAUCCCUGCCCUCCACUACAAAUGAUGGCACUUUAGGCUUAGCCAAUCAUACCGACUGCUUGUGAAUUCUAUCUUUUAUGGUUGUCCCCCUUUUUGUUGGUUUUACAGGUCUCGGCUCCUCGACAACACUCGUAAGUUUGAACCAAUCAAGGAAGUUUAGGUGAAGCUAGGGAAGUGCAAUAAUAUUAACGACAUAAGCCCUGAAGGAUAUGUGAUCAUGCUCAACGCCUCUCCUGGGAUCCUCAUAAGAGGCAAACACAGAGCAUACUUUAAUUCUUUCUGAUGUGCAUGAUCCUCAUAAGAGGUAAGUACAGAGCAUACUCGAAGUCAACUCCUGGUAUUGAAGAAUUACUUCAAACUCUAAGAACUCAUUUUGCCCAGAGGGGAAGAAUUUAAAAAGUCACGAAGAGAGUAUUUCAAAAAGAGUGAUUUAUUGCCAAUGAAUAUUCAUUGAUUUUUUAUUUCAAAAAUCGCUACUAUCAAAUAAAUUAUUUGUUUUAUUAAAAUAUUUUUCUUAAAAAAAAGAUUUUUUUUUGGAUAAAUUACACUG
This is a non-coding RNA of Punica granatum (pomegranate), 864 nucleotides long. The record is from RefSeq and is a predicted model, not a curated record. Lineage: Eukaryota; Viridiplantae; Streptophyta; Magnoliopsida; Myrtales; Lythraceae.